Molecule: ribosomal RNA, 497 nt
Filed under: uncultured bacterium
Lineage: Bacteria
Description: partial 16S ribosomal RNA
Rfam family: Bacterial small subunit ribosomal RNA
Source: RNAcentral
GAUGAACGCUGGCGGCGUGCCUAAUACAUGCAAGUCGAGCGAACGGACGAGAAGCUUGCUUCUCUGAUGUUAGCGGCGGACGGGUGAGUAACACGUGGAUAACCUACCUAUAAGACUGGGAUAACUUCGGGAAACCGGAGCUAAUACCGGAUAAUAUUUUGAACCGCAUGGUUCAAAAGUGAAAGACGGUCUUGCUGUCACUUAUAGAUGGAUCCGCGCUGCAUUAGCUAGUUGGUAAGGUAACGGCUUAACAAGGCAACGAUGCAUAGCCGACCUGAGAGGGUGAUCGGCCACACUGGAACUGAGACACGGUCCAGACUCCUACGGGAGGCAGCAGUAGGGAAUCUUCCGCAAUGGGCGAAAGCCUGACGGAGCAACGCGGCGUGAGUGAUGAAGGUCUUCGGAUCGUAAAACUCUGUUAUUAGGGAAGAACAUAUGUGUAAGUAACUGUGCACAUCUUGACGGUACCUAAUCAGAAAGCCACGGCUAACUACGUG